Molecule: ribosomal RNA, 490 nt
Filed under: uncultured bacterium
Lineage: Bacteria
Description: partial 16S ribosomal RNA
Rfam family: Bacterial small subunit ribosomal RNA
Source: RNAcentral
AUUGAACGCUGGCGGCAGGCCUAACACAUGCAAGUCGAACGGUAACAGGAAACAGCUUGCUGUUUCGCUGACGAGUGGGGGACGGGUGAGUAAUGUCUGGGAAACUGCCUGAUGGAGGGGGAUAACUACUGGAAACGGUAGCUAAUACCGCAUAACGUCGCAAGACCAAAGAGGGGGACCUUCGGGCCUCUUGCCAUCGGCUGUGCCCAGAUGGGAUUAGCUAGUAGGUGGGGUAACGGCUCACCUAGGCGACGAUCCCUAGCUGGUCUGAGAGGAUGACCAGCCACACUGGAACUGAGACACGGUCCAGACUCCUACGGGAGGCAGCAGUGGGGAAUAUUGCACAAUGGGCGCAAGCCUGAUGCAGCCAUGCCGCGUGUAUGAAGAAGGCCUUCGGGUUGUAAAGUACUUUCAGCGGGGAGGAAGGGAGUUAUGUUAAUACCUUUACUCAUUGACGUUACCCGCAGAAGAAGCACCGGCUAACUCCGUG